ACCUCCCACCCGUGUUUAUUUUACCUUGUUGCUUCGGCGGGCCCGCCUUAACUGGCCGCCGGGGGGCUCACGCCCCCGGGCCCGCGCCCGCCGAAGACACCCUCGAACUCUGUCUGAAGAUUGUAGUCUGAGUGAAAAUAUAAAUUAUUUAAAACUUUCAACAACGGAUCUCUUGGUUCCGGCAUCGAUGAAGAACGCAGCGAAAUGCGAUACGUAAUGUGAAUUGCAAAUUCAGUGAAUCAUCGAGUCUUUGAACGCACAUUGCGCCCCCUGGUAUUCCGGGGGGCAUGCCUGUCCGAGCGUCAUUGCUGCCCUCAAGCACGGCUUGUGUGUUGGGCCCCGUCCUCCGAUCCCGGGGGACGGGCCCGAAAGGCAGCGGCGGCACCGCGUCCGGUCCUCGAGCGUAUGGGGCUUUGUCACCCGCUCUGUAGGCCCGGCCGGCGCUUGCCGAUCAACCCAAAUUUUUAUCCAGGUUGACCUCGGAUCAGGUAGGGAUACCCGCUGAACUUAAGCAUAUCAAUAA
RNAcentral lists this ribosomal RNA (523 nucleotides) under Penicillium lanosum. Its description in RNAcentral is "eukaryotic LSU rRNA". The stretch from base 153 to 305 matches the Rfam family "5.8S ribosomal RNA". The record is from RNAcentral. Lineage: Eukaryota; Fungi; Ascomycota; Eurotiomycetes; Eurotiales; Aspergillaceae.